Molecule: ribosomal RNA, 109 nt
Filed under: Enterococcus faecium
Lineage: Bacteria; Bacillati; Bacillota; Bacilli; Lactobacillales; Enterococcaceae
Description: partial 16S ribosomal RNA
Rfam family: Bacterial small subunit ribosomal RNA
Source: RNAcentral
UUUUUAUGAGAGUUUGAUCCUGGCUCAGGACGAACGCUGGCGGCGUGCCUAAUACAUGCAAGUCGAACGCUUCUUUUUCCACCGGAGCUUGCUCCACCGGAAAAAGAAG